Molecule: non-coding RNA, 77 nt
Organism: Fusarium tricinctum
Lineage: Eukaryota; Fungi; Ascomycota; Sordariomycetes; Hypocreales; Nectriaceae
Source: the annotation of a GenBank genome assembly
GCCUCUAUGGCUCAGUGGUAGAGCGUCGCACUUGUAUAGCAAUGCGAAGGUCCAUAGUUCAAUCCUGUGUGGAGGCA